Molecule: ribosomal RNA, 669 nt
Filed under: uncultured Caulobacter sp.
Lineage: Bacteria; Pseudomonadati; Pseudomonadota; Alphaproteobacteria; Caulobacterales; Caulobacteraceae
Description: bacterial SSU rRNA
Rfam family: Bacterial small subunit ribosomal RNA
Source: RNAcentral
GAACGGCUCUUCGGAGCAGUGGCGGACGGGUGAGUAACGCGUGGGAACGUGCCCUUUGGUUCGGAACAACACAGGGAAACUUGUGCUAAUACCGGAUGUGCCCUUCGGGGGAAAGAUUUAUCGUCAUUGGAGCGGCCCGCGUUGGAUUAGGUAGUUGGUGGGGUAAUGGCCCACCAAGCCGACGAUCCAUAGCUGGUCUGAGAGGAUGAUCAGCCACACUGGGACUGAGACACGGCCCAGACUCCUACGGGAGGCAGCAGUGGGGAAUCUUGCGCAAUGGGCGAAAGCCUGACGCAGCCAUGCCGCGUGAAUGAUGAAGGUCUUAGGAUUGUAAAAUUCUUUCACCGGGGAAGAUAAUGACGGUACCCGGAGAAGAAGCCCCGGCUAACUUCGUGCCAGCAGCCGCGGUAAUACGAAGGGGGCUAGCGUUGCUCGGAAUUACUGGGCGUAAAGGGCGCGUAGGCGGACAGUUAAGUCAGAGGUGAAAGCCCAGGGCUCAACCUUGGAAUUGCCUUUGAUACUGGCUGUCUUGAGUUCGGGAGAGGUGAGUGGAAUGCCGAGUGUAGAGGUGAAAUUCGUAGAUAUUCGGCGGAACACCAGUGGCGAAGGCGACUCACUGGCCCGAUACUGACGCUGAGGCGCGAAAGCGUGGGGAGCAAACAGGAUUAG